CGCGGCCUAUCAGCUUGUUGGUGAGGUAACGGCUCACCAAGGCGACGACGGGUAGCUGGUCUGAGAGGACGAUCAGCCACACUGGGACUGAGACACGGCCCAGACUCCUACGGGAGGCAGCAGCAGGGAAUAUUGCACAAUGGGCGAAAGCCUGAUGCAGCGACGCCGCGUGAGGGAUGAAGGCCUUCGGGUUGUAAACCUCUUUCAGGAGGGAAGAAGCGAAAGUGACGGUACCCACAGAAGAAGCCCCGGCCAACUACGUGCCAGCAGCCGCGGUAACACGUAGGGGGCGGGCGUUGUCCGGAAUCAUUGGGCGUAAAGAGCUCGUAGGCGGCUCAGUAAGUCGGGUGUGAAACCCCCAGGCUCAACCUGGGGACGCCACUCGAUACUGCUGUGGCUAGAGUCCAGUAGGGGAGUGCGGAAUUCCCGGUGUAGCGGUGAAAUGCGCAGAUAUCGGGAGGAACACCAGCGGCGAAGGCGGCACUCUGGGCUGGAACUGACGCUGAGGAGCGAAAGCGUGGGUAGCAAACAGGAUUAGAUACCCUGGUAGUCCACGCCGUAAACGUUGGGCACUAGGUGUGGGGACCCUCCAACGGUCUCCGUGCCGUAGCUAACGCAUUAAGUGCCCCGCCUGGGGAGUACGG
This 644-nucleotide ribosomal RNA is filed under the name uncultured actinomycete. Its description in RNAcentral is "bacterial SSU rRNA". It matches the Rfam family "Bacterial small subunit ribosomal RNA", at positions 232 to 885 of the family's 1533-position model. The record is from RNAcentral. Lineage: Bacteria; Bacillati; Actinomycetota; Actinomycetes; Actinomycetales.